CGGCCGCCGGCGACCUGGGCCUACUUCCACUUCCGGGGUCACCAGGGAAGAGACGGGAAGGAAAAGAAAUAGCGGUUGGCUGAGAGGCAAGCCAAUCCAGCUAGGGCUGCGUCGACUCCAAGGAGGCGGUCCUAAGGAAGUACUGGCCCCGCCAUUUAAAGGCCCCUCCCUCCGCGUGUGGGAAUGGGAUUCCCGCAGGUUGCACCGCAGGAAGCAAGACAAAACCAGGGAGCUCAGAAGAGUCACUGCCCUGAUCCCUUCCGUGCCGGCAGCUGCGAGGACACAGGCCCCUUUGUAUCCUGCGGUGCGGAGGUGGAGCAGAGGAGAGGGUGCCCCGGCUGGCCCCCUCCCUCGCCCCGCAGCACUGCCCCUCCUUUCACAGCAACCCACGGCCUCCCCCGCGCUUGACCCAGCUGGCGAGCUGCCCCUUAUACCUGGAUCCGCCCCUCGGGUCGCAGCUCCCCAGGCCCGAUCACCGAGCGGUGCCUAGGAACUGGGAGCGUAACUUGGCUCGGCUCAGAACUUUGCCCGUGAGCCAAAGAACACUGAACUCAUCUACCUGCUGCUUGACAUCUCAUCUGCAUACCAAGCUAUUUGGUGGACGUCCACAAGCGCCCCCGCCCCCACGUAGACCCAGUUGGGUCCCCGUUCCGUCGGUCCCCUCCUCUGCACACGCCUCUAGCCUUAUACCCCGUCUUGAUCCGAAAGUUUUUCCACCCAUGAACCCCCAGUUGGCGCUCCCCGACCAGCAAAAGCCCCUUCCCUGGUCCACGAUCCCGACCACCCGGUUCUCCAGGAGACAAUACUCCAAUUCUCUGGAAAGUGGAAGAAACCAAGCUGAAGCUAGGGGGGCGCUGGGACCCCUAUUGGGGCUUUGAGAGCUUCCGGUUGUCAUCUCCUAAGUAUUCGGAGACCCUUCUCCAAAACUCUUGGGGUGACCCUCAAGACUCUUACCUGCUAUAUAGUUGGGGGUCUCUGGUCCUGGACUAGAGCAGUAGGCAACCUGGGUCCCCCCACACACACGGGAAAGAAUUGGAGGGGCCUGCCUUGUGAUGUCACCCCUCCUCCCCCCACCGCGCGCACGCGCGCGCGCACACACACAAACACAAACACACACCCCAACACACACGCCCUGUCCCCUUUCUCCACCCUGCAAGCUAGUUGCAUUUAGCUCACAGAGCCUGGGCUGCGACUUGAAAGAGUUUAGGCAGCAACAGAGUGACCCUGGGGGUGCUCUUGACCGACAGCCGCACCCCCGGCGUCUAGGACCUCCGAGCAGGGAUGCAUCUGGAGGUCUAGGGAAGCACUUCCACCCCCUCCUCUCCUCAAUCCUGGCAGGAUGGCUACUGCUGCUUCAAGACAGUGACGUUUCUCUCCGGUCAGCUGUCAGGAGCGCUGGUGAGCUUCCUACUGUGCCACAAGGUGCGGGUGCUGGAGACACAGCUGAGCCUGGAAAUGAGAGUGGGCAUCGCCGUGGUCAUCAUGACUCCUCUGCGGCGUGGUCACCAUGUUGGUUCACUGUGUUGGGCUCUUAUUGACGGGUCUCCUGCUAGGCCUGACCUUGGGUGCCGGAGCCCUGCUGGCUUCUGAGCCUAUCUACCAACCACCUUCAGCCUGGGUGCCAGCUGGGGGGCUGGUGGGGCUGGCGCUGCUGGGAGCCCUGCUCACACUUCGGUGGCCACGUCCAUUCACAGUUCUGGGCACAACCCUGCUGGGUUCUGCAGUGCUUGUGGCCUGUGUUGACUACUUCCUGGAGGGGCUGGCACUGGGGAGUUGGCUGGGCCAACGCCUGCAGACACUUCCAGCCUUGCCUUCUCUCUGCUGAUAUAGCUGGGUCUUACUGGGGAUCUGGCCAGCCUUGGGGGCCCUUGGAGCCCUGGCCCAGUGGAAGCUCGUGCCUGAGGAACAUGGAGGCCACGCUAAUGAGUUACUUCCAGAGUCUUCAAGAGUGCCAACUGGGACCAGGACCCCAGACCACAGCCCCCCACACCGUCCUGGACCUGGAUUCUGACUGUGGUUCCACUGUACCCCUCACCUUAAUCUCUGGUUCUAACCAGACCUGAGCCUAGACUUCCACUUUUUCCCUUACCCCUGUGAGGGCCUGGGAACACUAGGUGGGCAGGGUUUGAGCCCACAGGACCUGCACACAAACUUCCCCACCUCUUGGACUUGGGGACAGGAUCUGUGCCUCAACCCAGACCAGCUUUGUAGGGAUAUGUUCCAAGAACAGAGAAGAGUCUUAUGGGGAAGGGGGAGGAAGGGAAGUAUGAAUAUUUACCUCUGACCAAUAAUAGAGGUGCCCUGGUCCCCAAAGAAAUUGACUCCCGAAUUCCCUCCAAGCCUUACCCAUAUAGCUUUUGUUUGUUUGUUUGUUUUCAGACAAGGUCUUGUUCUGUCCAGUGCCGUGGCGUGACCACAGCUCAUGACAACUUUGAUUUCCCCGGCCCAAGCGAGCCUCUCAUUCAGCCUCCUGAGUGGCUGGGACCACAGACGCCACACACAGCUAAUUUUUAUGUAUUCGUUUUUAUUUUUUUGCAGAGACAGGGUCUCCCUAUGUUGCCCAAGCUGGUCUUGAACUCCUGGGCUCAAGUGAUCCUCCUGCUUCAGCCUCCCAAAGUGCUAGGAUUAUAGCCACCGCACCUCGUCUUGAAAUAGCCUUUUAAAUGUUCACCUCAGCUUGCCUCACAGUGGUAAAAAUAAGCAUUUUUUUGUUUUGUAGGAUCAGGGAGCUUCCAAGGCAUUUGAUACCUUUUUGAUGGGAAGAAGGGCUCUGAGGAGCUCCAAGAUACCCCAACCUCCAGGCCCUUCAUUAGGGGGUAGUUGGGUUUCUGUUUGGCCUUUCCCCCUGGGCCCCAUAGGCUUAAACUACCCCCACCCCCACCUCCGCCUCCUACCUCAGCUGGGAGCACUGUCUUCCAUGGGGCUUCCACUUCUCUCCUCAACCUGGGGAAGACCACAGGGCAGUGCCUGCCUCAGGACCUGCCUUCCCCAAAAGCUGGCUUCUUGCUCCAAGGAGAGAGCAUUGACCCACCUGCCAGAGUCUUGCCUUUUGCCCAAAGGAGCCUGGUCUUCAGGGCUGCAUAGGAUGCAAGUGCCUUCUCUGCUUCUCACCGUGGGUGGCACUAAUUUCCUCCUUAACCAGAACUUUGUUCCAGCCACUGACCCAUUCUAACUCUUCCCCCUCUGACUCUCCUGCGCAGGGUCUGUUCCUGGUUUCCCAGAUGCAUAAAGGAAGACAUAUCCCUCCCCUGGGCAGCAAGGCUACAAUGGGAGGGAGGGAGAACAUGGGAGCAUGUGAAUAAAAUGGCAUUAAAUACUGAA
RNAcentral lists this long non-coding RNA (3321 nucleotides) under Homo sapiens (human). RNAcentral describes it as "non-protein coding lnc-ORMDL2-1:2". Lineage: Eukaryota; Metazoa; Chordata; Mammalia; Primates; Hominidae. The record is from RNAcentral.